RNAcentral lists this long non-coding RNA (3095 nucleotides) under Equus caballus (horse). RNAcentral's name for it is "lncRNA (ENSECAG00000056692.1)". Lineage: Eukaryota; Metazoa; Chordata; Mammalia; Perissodactyla; Equidae. The record is from RNAcentral.
CUCCCCCACACCACCUGCUCUCUCCUCUUGCACAACCAACGGUUUAUUCAACAAAUACCAAAUAAGCAUUUGCCCUGGGCUGGUCUCUGAGCAACUGAGUCAUUAAGGGUGCGAUGUGGGGCCCUUUUGAGACCACCCAGCAGAGGGCUGGCUCCCGUGGGUGCUCACUGCUGCAGCUCCUCACCUCUCUCUGACUGGCUCAGGUGCUAUGGGGACAGAAGCCUGGGACACCAAGCGUGAACCCAGGGUGGCACCCAUAGAGCAGUAGGCAACACGCUUGUCACCACUGUGAUUGCCUGGCACUUCCAAUGGAGCAGACCACAGCACUUGAACCAGGACGGCCGAAGGAGGCUGUUCCUGAGCACACAGCUCCCCUGGAUUGUGCAGUGCCCGUCCUGCACAGCUGCACCGUGGCUCUAGCCCUCCAGCCCAGGCGGUCUCUGUAACAGCCCGUGAGAAAGACAAAUAUAUGGCUGACCUCGGGUGAGAAGCCAGGCCUGCUGCUGCCUCAGGACCCCCCCACCCCCAGCCUUGAGGGGCACAGAGAGCACUUCUCAUGCCAAAGCUCAGGGGGCCCCUUUCCUAAACUCUCCUCCUGGUGGUCCUGGGGCUCCAGGAAUGUGGGCUGUCAUUCUCCUCCUGUCGAUAGAGCCAGCCCUCGGACCUGUAGCCUCAGGGGAUGCAUGGGCUGCGGCCUGUCCAAGGCAGCUGAUGCUCCCCAGGCACAGGACUCUCCAUCCCUGACCACCGAGAUCCAGGUGAGUGGAGCCGCCCCAUGAGGUCACGGCUGUCCCGUUUAUCAGCCGGACUGAGAGUCAGGCCCAACCCCCAAGGCAUGCAGGGGAGUUGGCAGGGCCAGCCUCUGAGAAUGCCAGGCCGCCAGGGUGAGUGUCUGGGGCAGAGGCCUCCUGGCCAACUCUAACAACACGCUCCGUUGGCAGAUUCUCUGCCUCCCGCCAGGUGGCCCAUUAACCACCUCAGAUGCCACUAGAGCUGUGUCCAGAGCUGGGCUGCGCCAGGCGGGUCUGCCACUUGUUGAGCACUGACUGUAUGCUGACACAGUGCCAGGCCCCUCAUCAAAGUGACCUGUUGAAUGUCCUCACUCCCCGAAUUUCAGUGAGACACCUCAGCAAGGUCACGAGAUUCAUCCCAGGUUGCGUGACAACAAGGCCGGGCCCACCUGUCCUAGAGGCAACAGCGCACAGAUCUGCUGCCUCGGGUCCCCUCAUCUGCCACCUGGGCAGACAUGCCGGGUCUGCAGCCCCCAGCCCAGGGCCUGCCCAGGAAGGAGCCAAGGAUGGAGGGGAGGAAGCCGGGCUGAGCAGGGACCAGAGAGACAGAGGCCCAGUGCAGGGCGCCUUGGGUCUCGCCUUCCUCCCUGGCGCGGAGGACCGGUGCUGAGCAGGCAGGUGCGGUCCACUCCCAGGGAGCCUGGAGAGGCAGACGGCCGCACUCGGCAGGACGGGGAACUGUGGGGAGCAUCACUUCCAAGCUAGGCUAGCCUUCGGGUCCUCUUAACAAGGCAAUUUUGUAAAAACUUGAUUAAGCAGCAAUGACGACGGCAUGUCCACUCAGACCAGGUGUCCGGGCGUCUCCUCCCGACCUCCCUUCUCCCUCCAGCUGCUCACGUUCUUACCGAGCAUCCCUCUGCUCCGCUCCCCACAGCCCCUCUGUUCAGACCUCCUCCUUCCUGCCCAGACUCUCAGGGGUUCCGGUCCAACACAAACCUGAGCCCAUCUCCCCUGCAAAGUCUUCCCAAGGCCCCCGCUGCCCUCAGGUGGAAGCCUAAACCCAUGGCCUCCCCCCACGGUGCCAGCGGCCCCUCUGCAGACAGCGAGGCCUCUGUACAGCUGUUCCCUCUGCCUGGAAUGCCCUUCCUGCCACCCCCCGGAGGACCCGCCCUCAUCGCCCUGGAUCCUCGAGGAAGCAGCUCUCUGACUCCCCUCCUCUGCCCGUCUGGUGCCAGGCGCUGUGCGAGGCCCAUGCAGGUGCUCCAUGAACGCCAGCAGGGCAGAUGGCUGUGUUUCCCAGCUGAAACCAGGACACUGUGGCAGUCUUAGUUUCAACAAGCACAUAAUAAGCCUCAAGAACGCAGGAUCACACAGACGUGCCGGGCAGGUGCUCCCCUUUCUCCUCCAUGGAGCAUCUCACCAGCCGCAGGGCUGGUCCGCAGACCUGUGCGCAUGGCUCUCAGCUGCCUUCGCCAUGCGCCAGGCGCUGAACGCCCAUUUCCCAGCCUCCCUCUCCGCUGGGAUGGCCAUGUGUUAUGGGCUGAGUUGAGUCCCCCAAAAUCCAUACGCUGAAGCCCUAAUUCCAGCAGCUCAGAAUGUGACUCUAUUUGGAGAUACAGUCUUUAAAGAGGUAAAAUGAGGUCUCUAGGGCGGCCCUCAUCCAGUCUGACCAGGGUCCUUAUGAGAAGAGGGGAUCAGGACACAGACACACAGAGGGACGGCCAGGUGAGGACACAGGGAGGAGACAGACAUGAACAAGCCAAGGGGAGAGGCCUCAGAAGGAACCGAUGCUGCCCACACCUGGAUCUUGGAUGUCCAGCCUCCAGGGCAGGGAGCAUAGAUUCCAGGCUGGCUCCUGGCUUCCGCGGCCCCAGCAAAUUUGUGCUCUGUGCAGCCGAGGUCUGGGCAGCGAGGUGUAAACUGAAGUUUGGGGAUGGGGUUUCUGGGAAGGUGUUAGGAAAGCGACAGCCUCUGCUGGGAGCCCCUUUGCCCUCCCUCGCUGCCUGCCUGGAAAGACAACACCCAUUCUGAGACCGUGGGGAAGCCGGGGAUGGUGAUGAGAAAAACAUGGAGGCAGCAGGGUCCUUGAAGGGCUGGCUGGGCUCCGGCUCCUCAUUGGUGGGAUGCACCCCCACCUGCUUCAGCCACUGCCCAGCGGGUUUCCUGCUCCUCACAGCAUCCUUGGGGGACCAGCGCCUGCUCUCGUUCUGUGCACUCUUCCCCCGGCCCCUCCAUCCCUCCCCCGUAAGGGGCCGGCUGCUUCUCCACGCUCACAUCAAACCACCCGUCCAUCUGUCUCACCCACACUGCAGACCCACGGCCACAAAAGCAGCCGGUCCCGGUCCGAAGACGCUGCGAGCAGAC